UUUAAUAUGCUUUGAUAUAAAGAAUGGGCAUGAAAUUGGUUGAUGAUAUUAUGGAUUGAUUGAUACAUGUUUGAAGUUGAAUUUGGCUAAAAAUGUUGCAUAUAUGAUGCUUGAUUUUGGAAUUGUAGGGAGGACACAACUGGGUCGCAUAUUGGCCUUGUAAAUGACCUAUUUUUCCCACACAAGCUGCUGUGUUGCUCGAGGG
RNAcentral lists this long non-coding RNA (205 nucleotides) under Gossypium barbadense (sea-island cotton). RNAcentral describes it as "long non-coding RNA (GBAR_LNC009492)". Lineage: Eukaryota; Viridiplantae; Streptophyta; Magnoliopsida; Malvales; Malvaceae. The record is from RNAcentral.